RNAcentral lists this ribosomal RNA (447 nucleotides) under uncultured bacterium. RNAcentral describes it as "bacterial SSU rRNA". It matches the Rfam family "Bacterial small subunit ribosomal RNA", at positions 329 to 793 of the family's 1533-position model. The record is from RNAcentral.
UUCCAGACUCCUACGGGAGGCAGCAGUGGGGAAUAUUGCACAAUGGGGGAAACCCUGAUGCAGCGACGCCGCGUGAGUGAAGAAGUAUUUCGGUAUGUAAAGCUCUAUCAGCAGGGAAGAAAAUGACGGUACCUGAUUAAGAAGCCCCGGCUAACUACGUGCCAGCAGCCGCGGUAAUACGUAGGGGGCAAGCGUUAUCCGGAUUUACUGGGUGUAAAGGGAGCGUAGACGGUGAUGCAAGUCAGAAGUGAAAGCCCGGGGCUCAACUCCGGGACUGCUUUUGAAACUGUGUGACUGGAGUGCAGGAGAGGUAAGCGGAAUUCCUGGUGUAGCGGUGAAAUGCGUAGAUAUCAGGAGGAACACCAGUGGCGAAGGCGGCUUACUGGACUGUAACUGACGUUGAGGCUCGAAAGCGUGGGGAGCAAACAGGAUUAGAUACCCCGGUAA